CCCUUAGACGUUCUGGGCCGCACGCGCGCUACACUGACACAGGCAACGAGCUUUCCUUUACCGAAAGGUAUGGGUAAUCUUUUGAAACUGUGUCGUGCUGGGGAUAGAUCCUUGCAAUUUUUGAUCUUAAACGAGGAAUUCCUAGUAAGCGCGAGUCAUCAACUCGCGUUGAUUACGUCCCUGCCCUUUGUACACACCGCCCGUCGCUACUACCGAUUGAAUGGCUUAGUGAGGCCUCAGGAUCCGCGCUUAAUGUGUGGAGAAUUUGUACAAACUACGUCAUUUAGAGGAAGUAAAAGUCGUAACA
This 307-nucleotide ribosomal RNA is filed under the name uncultured eukaryote. RNAcentral describes it as "partial 18S ribosomal RNA". It matches the Rfam family "Eukaryotic small subunit ribosomal RNA", at positions 1470 to 1796 of the family's 1831-position model. The record is from RNAcentral.